RNAcentral lists this long non-coding RNA (2241 nucleotides) under Trifolium pratense (red clover). RNAcentral's name for it is "long non-coding RNA (TPRA_LNC013457)". Lineage: Eukaryota; Viridiplantae; Streptophyta; Magnoliopsida; Fabales; Fabaceae. The record is from RNAcentral.
AUAAAUCGAACUCUGCAAACUCGAAACCCUACACCACUCACUAUGGGAGUCUCUCAGCUUUGGCGUUUUUUUCUCUCUUUGAUACACACAGAAAUUGGUAGUAUUUCUUAUUUUUGUUCUAAUAAUAAUGUUCAUCAUGAUUAUCAUUAUUUCAUCUCUGAACCCUAGAAAACUGGGUAUUGCUACUUUAAUCUUUCGAUUUCAUCAUUUGCUUCACUCACCAAUUGUAUGAUUCUUUGAGCUUUCUCGAAUCGGAGAAAUAGGUUAUCUUUUUAGCUUCUAUUCCUCACUUCUUAAGCUUACAUUUCAAAUUUGAGAGAUACUGAGGUUUCUGGACAAUCCUUACUCACAAGUAUUUUUUUCCUCUCUGGUUCUUCUUGUGGACAAUCGAAGAGCACUAAUAAAUUAUAGGAAGUUUAUAAUUCAAGGAACUGAGACAACCACAUUAUUAUUUAAGGUAUUUCUUUUCUUUUUUUAUUUUUAUAUUAGCUAUGUAUGGAUAAACAACUUAAUUGAUGUGUUAUUUACUUGUACAUUUGUAUAAAAAUUAUUCCCCUUCUAAGUUCUUUAACAUCAAAGGGUUAACUUGUUCAUUUCUUUGUUAGUUUGGAAACUUAAAAAUGCAGCUUGGUUGUGCAUGACGAACAAAGCUCCAAAUGUUGGUAUUAUUAUUUGUUUGGUUUUAUAACAUGAUUAUAUGAUACCUAGCUUCUAGAGUUUGUGGUUUUAUUAUAUGGAUAAUUCUACCUUGUCUCUACUAAAUUUGGGGCUGAUGGUCCUUUUAUAAUGUGAGAUAUUUACUUGUACAUUGGUAAAACUUUUCAAUUUUUCUUCAUUCCCUCAUAUUUUAAUGAUUUCUAUUCUUAUUUGUUCUAUUUUCUUAUGUUAUGAGACUCAUGACAUUGUCUUUUAGGUUUAUGACUUAUGUUAUUUUUAGUCAUGAAUCUUAUUUAUUGCAAUAUGUUUGUAGUUUAUUGUUCUUUGGGUGUUUAAUGUUUCAUUUUAUCAUAGUAUAUUCAUUACAGGUUAAGGAGAAGCUUGUGGACUUUGUCCACUAUUUGCAUUUUGAGAUAAAUAAUGCUUUUGGCAGUGUAGGUAUGUACCUAAGAAAGACUUUCCAAUUGUACUUGCUUUGCUUUAUUACACUGUCUAGUCACGAGUUUGAUUUUUGCUGCCCUAUUAUUCUAGUUGCAUUAUAAUUCAUAAUAAUAUUGAAUUUGUUCUACUUCUAUUGAUUGAUACAUUCACUUAAAGGCAUACUUAUUUAGCAUUGUCUUCUUUGAUAUGAUAUUUGUCACUAACUUUGAUUAUUUUGUUUACAGAGAAUUGACCUACUCCACCAGAUUGAUACAUUCACAAGUCAUUCUACAAGAGUUUUAAAAGAUUUGUUGCAGACAUUGCAGAAAUUGAUUCGGUACAUAUGCAUUUUAUUUAUACUAGACUUGGAUUAGAUUUGAUCAUUUUAGGUAUAUACUCCAAUCUUCUCUAUAAAUGUCUCACAAUCUUGCACCCUAGAAGCUAGAAACGAUAGAUUUAUUUUAGUUUCGGAGAUAGAAAAGGUUUUGCAGGUCUCCAUGGUAGGAUGUGAUAGUAAAAGACACUCGACACUAUACGCCGGAAUCCCAUGAUACGCUGAUAAGUCUAGGGCAAAUCAAGCUACUCUUGAUAAGGUAUUUUAAUUAUUUCUCUAUUCUCAAUAUAUUGCAUGUGUGAGUGUGUGUGUGUGUGUGUGUGUGUGUGUGUGUGUGUGUGUGUGUGUGUGUGUGUGUAUCAGAACUGAAACUCACAAUCUCAGAUCAUUUGUUGAUUGCAUUGUGAUUAGUUUUUUAAAUUUCUUUUAUAGCAUUGAGAUUUGUUGAUAGCAUUUGUUAACAAGGAAAGCUUUUAUGAUCCAGUAUUUAAUAGCUUUUCUGCAUUGUUAAAAUCAAUGGUUACACAGGGUAUAAUGGGUUUGUGCAUUGUCUAUGAAUCAAUCCUAAAGUGAUCUUGAGUGAGGAGGCUUGUAUAAAAGUAUUCAUUUUCUGUUGUCCAGAAGAAAUUAUGUAGGAGAAAAAUUAAUGAAUAUACGGUCUACUAAGUUCUUAUAAUUUCAGGUACGUGAGGUGAGUUCACGUCCGGAAAGAGCUGGAUUGGGAGCAGCAUGGCAAAUUCAAAUGUUGGCAGUGGGUAUGUUUAUGGAGCUGUAAUAAAGAAGAGAUGCUUCUUUCAUAGGCUUUGCAUGAUUUAGUGCUAAGGAUUAGG